This 372-nucleotide ribosomal RNA is filed under the name uncultured organism. RNAcentral describes it as "bacterial SSU rRNA". It matches the Rfam family "Bacterial small subunit ribosomal RNA", at positions 526 to 896 of the family's 1533-position model. The record is from RNAcentral.
CGGAGGGGGCGAGCGUUGUCCGAAGUUACUGGGCGUAAAGCGCGCGUAGGCGGGUUGUCAAGUCCGCUGUGAAUGCCCGAGGCUCAACCUCGGAGGGUCGGUGGAUACUGACAGUCUUGAAGGUGCUAGGGGGAGAUGGAAUUACCGGUGUAGCGGUGAAAUGCGUAGAGAUCGGUAGGAACACCAGUGGCGAAGGCGGUCUCCUGGGGCAUUCUUGACGCUGAUGCGCGAAAGCUGGGGGAGCGAACGGGAUUAGAUACCCCGGUAGUCCCAGCCCUAAACGAUGGAUACUAGGUGUCGGGGGUAUCGACCCCCCCGGUGCCGCCGCUAACGCAGUAAGUAUCCCGCCUGGGGAGUACGGCCGCAAGGUUG